This 283-nucleotide ribosomal RNA is filed under the name uncultured bacterium. RNAcentral describes it as "partial 16S ribosomal RNA". It matches the Rfam family "Bacterial small subunit ribosomal RNA", at positions 506 to 784 of the family's 1533-position model. The record is from RNAcentral.
UGCCAGCCGCCGCGGUAAGACGGGGGACACGAGCGUUAUCCGGAAUCAUUGGGCGUAAAGCGUUUGUAGGUGGGCUAGCAAGUCCAUUGGUUAAAUCGUUGUGCUUAACACAAUCAUAGCCAUGGAAACUGCAUAAACCCUCGAGUUAAGUAGAGGCAACAGGAAUUCCUAGUGUAGCGGUGAAAUGCAUAGAUAUUAGGAAGAACACCAAAGGCGAAAGCAUGUUGCUGGGCUUACACUAACACUCAGAAACGAAAGCUAAGGUAGCAAAUCGGAUUAGAUA